CGGGCGGCCGUGACCCUGCUGGAGUUUGGGGGCGACCUCCAGGCCCCCGGGGGGUCCCUGCGCCUCCUCUGCCGAGGGUCCGGGUUCAAUUUCGGACAGUUUGGAAUGGGAUGGAUGCGCCAGAGACCCGGGCAGGGGCUGGAAUACAUCGCCAGUAUCAGCAACACGGGUGGCGGCACCAACUACGCGCCAUCGGUGCAGGGUCGGUUCACGAUCUCCAGGGACGAGGGGCAGAGCUCGGUGACGCUGACCAUGAACAACCUCAAGGACGAGGAUUCUGGAUCCUAUUUCUGUGCCAAACGUGCUUACAGUGGUUAUAGUUAUGACCGGCUGUCCCCGACCCUUCUUCCAAACCUCAGCCCCUGA
This is a non-coding RNA of Melozone crissalis (California towhee), 366 nucleotides long. The record is from the annotation of a RefSeq genome assembly. Lineage: Eukaryota; Metazoa; Chordata; Aves; Passeriformes; Passerellidae.